RNAcentral lists this transfer RNA (74 nucleotides) under Deltaproteobacteria bacterium. RNAcentral describes it as "tRNA-Met". It matches the Rfam family "tRNA". From Rfam's summary of the family: Transfer RNA (tRNA) molecules are approximately 80 nucleotides in length. Their secondary structure includes four short double-helical elements and three loops (D, anti-codon, and T loops). Lineage: Bacteria; Pseudomonadati; Myxococcota; Myxococcia. The record is from RNAcentral.
GGGCCUGUAGCUCAGUUGGUCAGAGCAUCCGGCUCAUACCCGGACGUGCCCAGGUUCGAGUCCUGGCGGGCCCA